RNAcentral lists this long non-coding RNA (207 nucleotides) under Lathyrus oleraceus (garden pea). RNAcentral describes it as "Pisum sativum (pea) long non-coding RNA (PSAT_LNC039701)". Lineage: Eukaryota; Viridiplantae; Streptophyta; Magnoliopsida; Fabales; Fabaceae. The record is from RNAcentral.
GUGAGGAUUGGGGCCCUCAUUCCUAUGUAUCCUUAUAGUGCAAAAAGGAAUUCAGAGCUCCGUAAUUCAUAGAACUAAUUACGGGAAAUGAAAAGAAGUGUGAUAAUGGCAUGGUCUGAACCAAAGGAUAACAUGAUUUGAACUCCAAAAGGGGAUAAAAUCUGAACCCAAGAGUAAAAUUGACGUGAACUAUAUGUGGGGUAGCCG